RNAcentral lists this long non-coding RNA (281 nucleotides) under Cairina moschata (Muscovy duck). RNAcentral's name for it is "domestica (muscovy Duck (domestic type)) lncRNA (ENSCMMG00000011769.1)". The record is from RNAcentral. Lineage: Eukaryota; Metazoa; Chordata; Aves; Anseriformes; Anatidae.
CCUUUCCUUCCUCUGGAUUCUGCCCACUGCGGCUGGAAGCAAGGGUGAAAGCUGGGGGGAUGCAGAGGCUUGGGGACAGGCUUGUCCCCACCAUGUCCCCAUGGCCGCUGGCCUGUCCCAGCAGUGGCUCUUUCGGGUCUCCGGAGCUGUGUGUGCCCUGGUGCUGAGCUGCAGGUGGGAGCGCCAGCUCUGAGCCUUGAGCCGGUCCAGUUUGUUCCUAGAAGUGCCAGCAUGGAUGACCGUGACCCAGCCUCAGGCUGCCUACACGAGAAAAAGAGGCU